GGUUACACGGAGCGGCACAGCCCUCCCAUCGUGGUUUGUCACGGAAACCGGAGGAAAAAAGCUCCCACCUUCUCCUCCUCCCAUAGACUGAGGCUGGGGAGGAACUGAAGAAUCUAAUGCCUACGAGAUGACAUUUCCGAGUUAAGGGAGCCUAGUUUUUGUGUUCCUGAAGGGAGUGCUCGCCGAGAGGGAAACGCCUCAGACGUGAAGACAGUUCUUACUCUGGAAAAUAGGAUUACCCUGAAGGUAUUGAAGGAGUUUUCAGAAGAGAAAUAAUAGAGGACUACGGUCUGCAAGCAAGGAGUGCCAAGUGUCUGCAGAGGCAACAACACUACGCGGCUCCGUGGGGUGUGCACGCGCAAGCCGAGCGUGGGAGACUGUCCACCCGUCACACUUGUACUUUCACUGGAACCUGGAGAACAUGCUACCCAAAGCGCAACUGUUCAUCCGCUUCCUUUCAGCGAUCCAACUUCAAGAGUUCUGUCCCAAGAAUUCAAAACCGUGAGAAAAGUUGUGCGGACGACAGUCUCCCGAAGGCCAGUCACUGUUCCGCAGUAGAAGAAGAAGAGAGGUCAAGUCAUGGUCCAUUCAGAAUAUGGAAUAUUACGGAGGCACGGGGAUUAUUUUGACAGGUGGCAGUAUGUGAAACCCACCCCCACGAAGAUGUGGACUAGGAGAUAGAUACAGGAAGAUUGCAGAAAACCGGAAAAGAAAGCGGAGUUCGGGGGCAGGUGACUCUAACGAGGUGUUACGUGACGCAUGCUCACAUUUCUGUUUUCCUAAUUACGUAACCGAUACAGGGAAGCUUUCCGGUCUUAACAUAUUUAAGUUAUACGGAAGCGUGUUCAGUAGCAGGUGGAGGACGCCACCAGGUGGCUGCUCCUGGCUUGUCUGCUCCCCAUUAAUCAGACGGUGUCAGCUCUCUGUCUUCUUCCUCAGAGGCACGCGCUCGCGCAGGCGCAUUAUAUGUGGCAUUAUUUUAACAUGAAAGUGAUAAUAUUGUAUUUCUUGAAACUCGGUUCUUUUAACAAUAUGCACUCUAGGUCUUUCUGGAUCAAUAAAUAUAAAUCUACCUCA
This is a long non-coding RNA of Neofelis nebulosa (Clouded leopard), 1077 nucleotides long. RefSeq lists it as uncharacterized. The record is from RefSeq and is a predicted model, not a curated record. Lineage: Eukaryota; Metazoa; Chordata; Mammalia; Carnivora; Felidae. The transcript has 2 exons.